CCAGCAGCCGCGGUAAUUCCAGCUCCAAUAGCGUAUAUUAAACUUGUUGCAGUUAAAAAGCUCGUAGUUGAAUUUCUGUUGCAUCGUUGAUUAUCUUUAACAGGUUUAUCAUCGUUGUGACUUUUUCUGGUUAUAUUGCUUUAGUGGUAUUUCCAGAUUGUUACUUUGAGAAAAUUAGAGUGCUUCAAGCAGGCUUUUGCCUUGAAUACUUUAGCAUGGAAUAACUAAGUAGGACUUUGGUUCUAUUUUGUUGGUUUAAGAGCCAAAGUAAUGAUUAAUAGGAACAGUUGGGGGCAUUCGUA
Molecule: ribosomal RNA, 302 nt
Filed under: Cytauxzoon felis
Lineage: Eukaryota; Apicomplexa; Aconoidasida; Piroplasmida; Theileriidae
Description: SSU rRNA
Rfam family: Eukaryotic small subunit ribosomal RNA
Source: RNAcentral